AUGGAGGAGGCCAGCGCCUGCACCCUGUACCGAUGCGUCUGCUGCUGGCGUCGUCUCUGCUCUCCCCGGAUCCCGCGCGUCGCCCCCGGCAGAGACUACGUCUGCAUCCCGGCUGGCGCGGAUGACAGCCCCGCCUGGUCGCUGCUCGUCGGCUUCCUCUCCGCAUCCAUCCCUAUGAUCUCCGAAGACAGUGUCCUGGGCCUGCACCGGUUCCGCGUCGCGCGAUCCGGUCGAAUCCUCGGCCGGAGCGAGGAUGCCCUCGACACCCUGUGCACCGUCGAAACCACCAAGGGCUGCAGCGGCAUCGCCAGCGCUACCGCCGCGCUGACUCCCGACGGCCGCUCGCUAUGCCUCUUCUCUGAGCACCUGGAUCCGGGCAAGAACUCGGCGACCCCACGAGCCCAGCAGCUGCGGCUGGCCCACGAAGCCGCCACCAUGUCCGAGCUGCCUCGCCUGCCGCAGGACACUUGCACGCAUUGCCGCCCCGUCUCGGCCGCCGGCCACCUCUGGGCUCCAUACGUCUAUUUGGAGUAUGUAGGCAAGUGCGUCCUCGGGAUGCAACGCUUCCGCAAGGACGCUGACCGGUGGGAGCAGGCCGGGGACACCUUCCCCUUCCACUACAAGAGCCAAAUGACCAAACUGUGGAAUGGCGACUUCUUGCAGGGAUGCGCCGUUCUCCCGGACGACACCAUCUUGGUGUCGCUGCGACCAGCUCAGGGCGUCUUCUUAACCUUCAAUUGCUCCGAUUGCACCUGGACCGUGGUCACCACCUCCGAGAACACACAGACGGUCUACGUCCCCAUCCUGGGCCCUGGUGUAUACAUACAAGGAGAUGAUGAUACAGAUGAUGAUGGUGCCGUCUACUUCCUCCGUGACAAUCGCGUCUAUGCCUACAAGCUGCGCUAUUACCAGGACCAGGAGGAUCAGCGAAGAAAGCUCAAGCUGGAGCCGCCUACCAUUGUCGACUCUGUCUGUCCUUUCUACGAUGAAGGCUAUGGUUUCCUCACGCACCUGGGCGGCCGACUCAUGUGCUCCGUCUGGAUCAGCGUGGAGCGCCACUGCUCCUGUGACCAUCUGCACGCCAUCAUCUCCACCUUCAGAGUUAGACCAACCAGCGCUCGGCAGAAAGGCAUCGAUAUACUGCAUUCCACCUGCCGCCGCUUGGAUGUGCUCUCUGUUGGACUACCAACCCAUGAAUUCUGCUUCCUACAGGAGUAUGAGGACCAGAAUGCCAUGCCGCCUGCAAUGCUGGAGUAUCCAACCAGCUCUCCCGUCAUAGAAUCCUCCAAGAUGCUUGAUUGUUGCAGCAAUUUUCUAUCUGUAAAACCGGGACAUUACGAGUUUGAGGAGCCUCCUGAGGACCCAGCUGUCCAGAUCAAUAAGGACCUAUAUAUUAUUUGCGAAGCUCAAUUCCAGACAAUUGUGUAUGUUGCCAAAAUAGAGAACGGAAGGGUGGGAUCUCAUGACAAACUUCUCACGCAAAAGCAUGCUCUGGUCUUAUCUUACAACACUGACGAUCAUUACCUUGUUCGGUAUCGGUCUCCCCCGUGGCACCUCGUCUUCAGCAGUCGCAGCUCCAACGCAUAUGUUGUCUCUAACACACAAGAUGGCAUAGAUGCAUACGGUCCAACUGAGGAGUCCAAGCUGUUUCCAUGCACGGAGCCUCCCGCUCCUGACCCUUUCUCUAUGGUUCUUGAAGUUGGUAACAGGAUUGUCGCUCUGAGCGAGACUCUCGGUGUUUCCUACCACGAUGGAUCCAAAUGGGUGCGUUGCAGGCACCUCGCAGACGAAUAUCUUGCUCUGAACGGGAAGGUUGACCUUUCGGGAUAUGCGGUCCUGGGUGACAAUUCCUUCGUGGUUUCCGAGGCCGGCACAGGUUCGAUCCUUAUGUUCGAUCUGCGUUCCGAGAGAUGGAGCAUUGUGCGGCAUGCUUCUGCUUCGUGCGGAGCCCAAGUGUUGAACGGGAGAUCUGUGUUUGUUGAUGGUUUCAUCUACACAUGCACAAUGGGGGGCAUUCUCGCGUAUGAGCUGGUUGAUCAGCAAGAUGAUGGCAAGGAGCUUGGAGAGCCCGUCCUCUUGCAGUUCUCGUGGCAGUUGUCAGAGCGCAGGGGUUGGGACGCUGAAAGGAUGUGCUUGGAUUGUGCUGACAAAGACAAGAUCCCUGAUGCGAUUGUUUUCUGUGUGGUGCAAGGUGAAUAUGGUUGUUCAAAAAACCUUCCUGGCAGCCUUUCUCGCAGCCACGAUGUACACAUCACAACUGUUCAGGUGAAGACUGAAAGAACACACAGACGCAAAAGGAGGCCAGAGAGAAUUGACCAUGUGGAUAUCAGCACAUGUUUCAUUGAGCAUGAUGCAGCACUUGUCUGGACCAAACGUUGUUUUGCAGUUGAGUCUUCUUGA
This 2400-nucleotide ribosomal RNA is filed under the name Triticum aestivum (bread wheat). RNAcentral's name for it is "partial small subunit ribosomal RNA". Lineage: Eukaryota; Viridiplantae; Streptophyta; Magnoliopsida; Poales; Poaceae. The record is from RNAcentral.